Cucumis melo (muskmelon) is the source of this 1614-nucleotide long non-coding RNA. RefSeq lists it as uncharacterized. Lineage: Eukaryota; Viridiplantae; Streptophyta; Magnoliopsida; Cucurbitales; Cucurbitaceae. The transcript is spliced from 4 exons. The record is from RefSeq and is a predicted model, not a curated record.
CAUAAGAAAGAAAAAAUCAAAAAAAGAAAGAGGGGAAAAGAAAAGAGAAAAGGAAAAGAAAAAAAAAACCCUAGCAGCCGCUCGCCGCCGCGUACCCGAGCCGCCCAAACCCUCUUCUUUCUUUUCGUCAGCUCAGCCGAAUCGUUCGCAGCCGCCAGCCAUCGCGUGAAGCCUCGUCCUGCCGUGUCGCCGAGCAGCAGCAGUCGACGAUCGUCAGCCGCGCGCCUCCAGCCGUCGAAGCCGAACACACGUUUCGGCCGUCGCCCGAACCCGAAGCUGAACCCACGUUUCGGUCGUCGCCCGAACCCAAAGUCGAACCCACGUUUCGGCCGACGCCCGAACCCGAAGCCGACCCGCGCCCGCUCGCUCGCUUGCACACCGCUCGACGCCCGCGCACGCCCGCUUCGAGUCGCAAGCCGAGCCCGCGCGCGCCCAUCCCAUGCCGUGAGCCGCGCCUGUCUGCGCCACGAGCCGAGUCGAUCCCCAACCUUCAAGCCGAGCCGGUUCCUGCUCCUCCAGCCGAGCCCCCAAGCCUAGUUGGCUCUUUUCCACCCAAUUUUUGGCCACCUUGGACGAUUUGACUUGGAGCGUUGGAUUUCUUCGGUAGGGGCUCAAGCAUUGCAACCUCGACCUAGGUUAGGACCUCGUUGCUUGGAAAGCACACUUGUCUUGCGGUUAGGACUCGUCGAGUAAAUCUCCAGGUAGAGGCUGAGGUAAGGGCAAAGGCAAGCUGGCGAGCGACCAGAAGUGACCGUGGCGAGCCAUAGGGAUUUCUGCUUCCGCCUACAUUUGUUUUUGACGUUUAGUACUUGAGUUUUAUUUUUCUUCACUAUUUACUAUUUCUUUUCUUUAAAAGUAGAUAGGGCCCAAGUAGGACUUUAGUAUUUAAUUUUAUUUUCGCAUAUUACCUUGAUUGAUUUUCAUAAAUAAAUUUCUUAAAUUUUAUUCGUUUUUACUAAAUUUUAUGACUUAAACCACGUGUUUUACAUUCAGUAAUGACUGCGACUCAGUAUAAGGAGUUGGGUCUUUACAUCCUCGCAGCCCGAUUGUCUUAGUGUUUCAUCCGGGUUCGCUACAGACCAGUAUGUCCUAGGUUCUCCCCCAGGACACUGAAGACCAGAUUCCGUUCCUACGGGAGCGCAUGUUGCCGUGUUCGGGAACGUGCCAGUUCUUGGGUACCACUUUUUAGGACUCUAAUGGGGAGUUAACAGACACCUAGCGGGACUAGUAGUAGGUCCCUUAUUGAGUAUAUGUUUAUACUCACUCUUUCUAUGUUUAAUAUUUCAGGCGAAGGUAAAGGUAGAGGAAAGCUGGCGAGCGACAGAGAAGGAUCCGUGACAUGCCAUAUGGGGACUCAGUUUUGCUUCCGCGUUUAUGUUUCAGUGUUUUAAUAUUCCGUUUUUAAUGAAAAUUUAGUCUUCCCUCGUUCUAAAAAAGGUGUCUCUUGUCAUUGUUUCUUUUUAGUAAUGACCUUAGCUUAGUAUAAAAAGUUGGGUCCUUACAGAUCAUAUUGUCUAUUAUGCCACAUAAUUCAUAUCUAAAAAAUAAUUUAGUACAUACAAAUAUAUGGGAUAGCAAGGAGAUGAGAGAUAAAAUAAUAUAUACAUAUAUAUA